RNAcentral lists this unclassified non-coding RNA (212 nucleotides) under soil metagenome. Its description in RNAcentral is "partial contains 5.8S ribosomal RNA, internal transcribed spacer 2, and large subunit ribosomal RNA". The record is from RNAcentral.
AACACUGUUAACCUGCGGUACCUGCGGAGGGAUCAUUACAGGACUCGCAAGACUCCUUAAACCCCUGUGAACUUACUGUUUAUACGUUGCUUCGGCGGGUGCUCCGGGGUCCGCCCCGGGGCGCUGCGCCCGCCGGCAGCCUACUUAAUUCUGUUUCUCUGCGUUGGCAUCUCGAGUAAGCAAAAUAAGUUAAAACUUUCAACAAUGGAUCU